GAUGAAGAACGCAGCAAAAUGCGAUAAGUAAUGCGAAUUGCAGAAUUCAGUGAGUCAUCGAAUCUUUGAACGCACAUUGCGCCCUGUGGUAUUCCGCAGGGCAUGCCUGUUCGAGCGUCAUUUCAACCCUCAAGCUCUGCUUGGUGUUGGGCCCUGCCCGCUGCGGCCGGCCCUAAAGACAGUGGCGGUGCCGCCUGGCCCUGAGCGUAGUACAUCUCUCGCUCCAGUGCCCGGUGGUAGCCUGCCAGAACCCCAACUCUCGUGGUUGACCUCGGAUCAGGUAGGGAUACCCGCUGAACUUAAGCAUAUCAAUAAGCGGAGGA
This 323-nucleotide unclassified non-coding RNA is filed under the name soil metagenome. Its description in RNAcentral is "partial contains 5.8S ribosomal RNA, internal transcribed spacer 2, and large subunit ribosomal RNA". The stretch from base 1 to 120 matches the Rfam family "5.8S ribosomal RNA", at positions 35 to 154 of the family's 154-position model. The record is from RNAcentral.